RNAcentral lists this long non-coding RNA (697 nucleotides) under Chlamydomonas reinhardtii. RNAcentral describes it as "long non-coding RNA (CREI_LNC000775)". Lineage: Eukaryota; Viridiplantae; Chlorophyta; Chlorophyceae; Chlamydomonadales; Chlamydomonadaceae. The record is from RNAcentral.
GGUAAGUUGCAAGGCCGUGGCCAAGCAUGAACAACCAACGUUACAAUGGUGAUAAAUACAACUCGUCCGCCAUCCUUCACCGUCACCUGCCCUAUCUGUGUAUCUGCAGGACUUAGCUGCCUCUUCCGGCAACGCCACUGCCGCUGCUGCUUCCCAUGAGGCGCUGUCCCUUGAGAUCUUGGAGGCGCAGGUGGAGUACGACGUGCUGCUGCAUGGCAGAGAGGUGAGGAGUUUGCCUUCAGUCGUCCGGUCUGUGGUAGACGGUGACUGCAAUGCUGCUCGAUAUCAACAUCGGGCUGCUUGCUGUGUUUCCCUGCUUGUGUUCCCAUUGCUAUAGGCACUGGGCUGGGCUCCAAGAAACUUCACUCACCGGCCGCACCUGGAUCAAGAGACCCGGGGCAUCGUGUGGAGUGGCCACACAGUCACCAACAUCCUGUACGGGGAGGGCCAGUGUCUCUGCUUCGAUCCAGUCGAAUGCCAGCCGCUGACCUCGCCCUACUACCAGGUGUGCAACGGAAAGCAGGAAAUGUUACAGCACCGUUAUGUGCACCGCCUGCCUCUGUAGUUGCUUCCCGCUUCUGCACCGUGGUGGCUCACACAUGUGUUCCAUGCCUCUCCCGCUCCGCAGCUGACCUCCAACGGGUUGCACCUGCUCGUGAUGUCUUUGCUCAAGUCUGGCCAUUCGCUGUUAGCACAG